GCAGCAGUGGGGAAUAUUGCACAAUGGGCGCAAGCCUGAUGCAGCCAUGCCGCGUGUAUGAAGAAGGCCUUCGGGUUGUAAAGUACUUUCAGCGGGGAGGAAGGCGAUAAGGUUAAUAACCUUGUCGAUUGACGUUACCCGCAGAAGAAGCACCGGCUAACUCCGUG
This 167-nucleotide ribosomal RNA is filed under the name uncultured bacterium. RNAcentral's name for it is "partial 16S ribosomal RNA". It matches the Rfam family "Bacterial small subunit ribosomal RNA", at positions 348 to 507 of the family's 1533-position model. The record is from RNAcentral.